UACGUAGGGUGCGAGCGUUUGUCCGGAAUUAUUGGGCGUAAAGGGCUCGUAGGCGGUUUGUCGCGUCGGGAGUGAAAACCAGGUGCUUAACACCUGGCUUGCUUUCGAUACGGGCAGACUAGAGGUAUGCAGGGGGAGAACGGAAUUCCUGGUGUAGCGGUGAAAUGCGCAGAUAUCAGGAGGAACACCGGUGGCGAAGGCGGUUCUCUGGGCAUGACCUGACGCUGAGGAGCGAAAGUGUGGGGAGCGAACAGG
This 255-nucleotide ribosomal RNA is filed under the name uncultured bacterium. Its description in RNAcentral is "partial 16S ribosomal RNA". It matches the Rfam family "Bacterial small subunit ribosomal RNA", at positions 524 to 776 of the family's 1533-position model. The record is from RNAcentral.